RNAcentral lists this ribosomal RNA (255 nucleotides) under uncultured bacterium. Its description in RNAcentral is "partial 16S ribosomal RNA". It matches the Rfam family "Bacterial small subunit ribosomal RNA", at positions 524 to 777 of the family's 1533-position model. The record is from RNAcentral.
UACAGAGGCCCCAAGCGUUACUGAGAAUCACUGGGUUUAAAGGGUGCGUAGGUGGCGCGUUAAGUCCGUUGUGAAAUCCCUUGGCUCAACCAAGGAAAUGCUUCGGAUACUGGCGUGCUUGAGGCUAGUGAGGGGUCACUGGAACUGACGGUGGAGCGGUGAAAUGCGUAGAUAUCGUCAGGAACGCCGAUGGUGAAGACAGGUGACUGGGCUAGUUCUGACACUGAGGCACGAAAGCGUGGGGAGCGAACAAGG